RNAcentral lists this ribosomal RNA (1355 nucleotides) under uncultured bacterium. Its description in RNAcentral is "bacterial SSU rRNA". It matches the Rfam family "Bacterial small subunit ribosomal RNA", at positions 28 to 1381 of the family's 1533-position model. The record is from RNAcentral.
AUUGAACGCUGGCGGCAGGCUUAACACAUGCAAGUCGAACGAUGACUAACUAGCUUGCUAGUUAUGAUUAGUGGCGGACGGGUGAGUAACAUUUAGGAAUCUGCCUAGUAGUGGGGGAUAGCUCGGGGAAACUCGAAUUAAUACCGCAUACGACCUACGGGUGAAAGGGGGCGCAAGCUCUUGCUAUUAGAUGAGCCUAAAUCAGAUUAGCUAGUUGGUGGGGUAAAGGCCUACCAAGGCGACGAUCUGUAACUGGUCUGAGAGGAUGAUCAGUCACACCGGAACUGAGACACGGUCCGGACUCCUACGGGAGGCAGCAGUGGGGAAUAUUGGACAAUGGGGGCAACCCUGAUCCAGCCAUGCCGCGUGUGUGAAGAAGGCCUUUUGGUUGUAAAGCACUUUAAGCAGGGAGGAGAGGCUAAUGGUUAAUACCCAUUAGAUUAGACGUUACCUGCAGAAUAAGCACCGGCUAACUCUGUGCCAGCAGCCGCGGUAAUACAGAGGGUGCGAGCGUUAAUCGGAAUUACUGGGCGUAAAGCGAGUGUAGGUGGCUCAUUAAGUCACAUGUGAAAUCCCCGGGCUUAACCUGGGAACUGCAUGUGAUACUGGUGGUGCUAGAAUAUGUGAGAGGGAAGUAGAAUUCCAGGUGUAGCGGUGAAAUGCGUAGAGAUCUGGAGGAAUACCGAUGGCGAAGGCAGCUUCCUGGCAUAAUAUUGACACUGAGAUUCGAAAGCGCGGGUAGCAAACAGGAUUAGAUACCCUGGUAGUCCACGCCGUAAACGAUGUCUACUAGCCGUUGGGGUCCUUGAGACUUUAGUGGCGCAGUUAACGCGAUAAGUAGACCGCCUGGGGAGUACGGCCGCAAGGUUAAAACUCAAAUGAAUUGACGGGGGCCCGCACAAGCGGUGGAGCAUGUGGUUUAAUUCGAUGCAACGCGAAGAACCUUACCUGGUCUUGACAUAGUGAGAAUCCUGCAGAGAUGCGGGAGUGCCUUCGGGAAUUCACAUACAGGUGCUGCAUGGCUGUCGUCAGCUCGUGUCGUGAGAUGUUGGGUUAAGUCCCGCAACGAGCGCAACCCUUUUCCUUAUUUGCCAGCGGGUUAAGCCGGGAACUUUAAGGAUACUGCCAGUGACAAACUGGAGGAAGGCGGGGACGACGUCAAGUCAUCAUGGCCCUUACGACCAGGGCUACACACGUGCUACAAUGGUAGGUACAGAGGGUUGCUACACAGCGAUGUGAUGCUAAUCUCAAAAAGCCUAUCGUAGUCCGGAUUGGAGUCUGCAACUCGACUCCAUGAAGUCGGAAUCGCUAGUAAUCGCAGAUCAGAAUGCUGCGGUGAAUACGUUCCCGGGCCU